UGCAAGUCGAGUGCGCGUCUGUAGCAAUACAGAUGGCGCACGGCGCACGGGUGCGUAACACGUGGGUAAUCUGCCCUUCGAUGGGGAAUAUCUUCGGGAAACCGAAGCGAAUUCCGCAUAACAUUCCUUGAACUUCGGUUUGGGGACUCAAAGCCGUAAGGCGUCGGAGGAGGAACCCGCGCACGAUUAGCUAGUUGGUAGGGUAACGGCCUACCAAGGCUUUGAUCGUUAGCUGGUCUGAGAGGAUGGCCAGCCACACUGGAACUGAGACACGGUCCAGACUCCUACGGGAGGCAGCAGUGGGGAAUCUUGCACAAUGGGCGAAAGCCUGAUGCAGCGACGCCGCGUGGGGGAUGAAGCUUUUCGGAGUGUAAACCCCUUUCGACCCGGACGAAUGCCCCGUAAGGGGACUGACGGUACGGGUAUAAGAAGCCCCGGCUAACUACGUGCCAGCAGCCGCGGUAAGACGUGGGGGGCCAGCGUUGCUCGGAAUUACUGGGUGUAAAGGGUUCGUAGGCGGUGUGGCAAGUCGGGAGUGAAAUCUCUGGGCUUAACCCAGAGUCUGCUUCCGAAACUGCUGUGCUUGAGUGUGGGAGAGGCGCGUGGAAUUGCAGGUGUAGCGGUGAAAUGCGUAGAUAUCUGCAGGAACACCCGUGGCGAAAGCGGCGCGCUGGACCACUACUGACGCUGAGGAACGAAAGCUAGGGGAGCAAACAGGAUUAGAUACCCUGAUAGUCCUAGCCCUAAACGAUCAGGACUUGGGGUGCCGCACGUUCGUGCGUCGUCCCGGAGCUAACGCGUUAAGU
Molecule: ribosomal RNA, 806 nt
Filed under: uncultured bacterium
Lineage: Bacteria
Description: bacterial SSU rRNA
Rfam family: Bacterial small subunit ribosomal RNA
Source: RNAcentral